Molecule: small nucleolar RNA, 124 nt
Organism: Spermophilus dauricus (Daurian ground squirrel)
Lineage: Eukaryota; Metazoa; Chordata; Mammalia; Rodentia; Sciuridae
Source: Ensembl
CCCUCCUACAAAGGUGUGUCUUUGGAUCCCUGUCUUUGGACACAUAAGAAUUAGAGGAAAAGAAAUAUGAAUUUGGAGAAGUCUUUUCCAAAUUUUCCCCCAUGGAUCGAUCAAUCCCACAUAG